RNAcentral lists this ribosomal RNA (440 nucleotides) under uncultured bacterium. Its description in RNAcentral is "partial 16S ribosomal RNA". It matches the Rfam family "Bacterial small subunit ribosomal RNA", at positions 338 to 795 of the family's 1533-position model. The record is from RNAcentral.
CCUACGUGUGGCAGCAGUGGGGAAUAUUGCACAAUGGGGGAAACCCUGAUGCAGCGACGCCGCGUGAGCGAUGAAGUAUUUCGGUAUGUAAAGCUCUAUCAGCAGGGAAGAAAAUGACGGUACCUGACUAAGAAGCCCCGGCUAACUACGUGCCAGCAGCCGCGGUAAUACGUAGGGGGCAAGCGUUAUCCGGAUUUACUGGGUGUAAAGGGAGCGUAGACGGCAGCACAAGUCUGGAGUGAAAUGCCGGGGCUAAACCCCGGAACUGCAUUGGAAACUGUGCAGCUAGAGUGCAGGAGAGGUAAGUGGAAUUCCUAGUGUAGCGGUGAAAUGCGUAGAUAUUAGGAGGAACACCAGUGGCGAAGGCGGCUUGCUGGACUGUAACUGACGUUGAGGCUCGAAAGCGUGGGGAGCAAACAGGAUUAGAUACCCUAGUAGUC